AUGCUUGUCUCGUUUCGUGCGGAGCUGCAAAGCUUGGUUGAGUUUGCGCUCCGCCCGCUGCGCAAGCUAGAGGACUCUUUGUGCAUGUGGUUGGCACGUGUGUCCGACCUCUUGGAGCAGGCGGAGGUGUCUGAUGGUGAGCGUGGGUUGAGCCCAGCCUCCUUGCAGGGACCUUGCUCCUUAGGCACUUCCGUUCAUGGUUUGACGCUACCAAAAGAUGGGAGCAAAGGUGUUGAUGACAUUGGCGACAAGGUUGGGUUGGCGCCCUCAAGGUAUGUUGCUGACGUGGAGUCUACAGGGCAGCAUGCGUCGGUCAAGUCUAUGGCCUUGUAUGACAAGGUGGCCACCGAGCUUAGCCUUCCUACUUCUGCCUCCAAUGAGGUGUGGGGCGUUGCAAAGGGAUGCGCAUCGGCAUUUGAGGGCCAAAACACUUUACACGUCUUCAUCGAGCUGGUCAAAAGCCUUUCUGCCGUGCCUGCAAUCACCCAAGGGCUGAUUCACCUUGUCAAUGCAGCGAAGAUCAAGAAUGUCAACCAACUGGCAGGCGUCGCCUCGGGCGUGGGGACUGCAUGUCAUGAUGUUAGCCAUUAG
This 591-nucleotide ribosomal RNA is filed under the name Triticum aestivum (bread wheat). RNAcentral's name for it is "partial small subunit ribosomal RNA". The record is from RNAcentral. Lineage: Eukaryota; Viridiplantae; Streptophyta; Magnoliopsida; Poales; Poaceae.